GAAAGAGUGCGUAAUAGCUCACUGGUCGAGUGACCCCGCGCCGAAAAUGUACCGGGGCUAAACAUAUUACCGAAACUGUGGAUGAACCUCUUUAGAGGUUCGUGGUAGGAGAGCGUUCUAAGGGCGGUGAAGUCAGACCGGAAGGACUGGUGGAGCGCUUAGAAGUGAGAAUGCCGGUAUGAGUAGCGAAAGAAGGGUGAGAAUCCCUUCCACCGAAUAUCUAAGGUUUCCUGAGGAAGGCUCGUCCGCUCAGGGUUAGUCGGGACCUAAGCCGAGGCCGAUAGGCGUAGGCGAUGGACAACAGGUAGAGAUUCCUGUACCAGUGCUAAUUGUUUAACCGAUGGGGUGACACAGAAGGAUAGGGAAUCGCACGAAUGG
RNAcentral lists this ribosomal RNA (378 nucleotides) under Listeria monocytogenes. RNAcentral's name for it is "bacterial LSU rRNA". It matches the Rfam family "Bacterial large subunit ribosomal RNA", at positions 1124 to 1501 of the family's 2925-position model. The record is from RNAcentral. Lineage: Bacteria; Bacillati; Bacillota; Bacilli; Caryophanales; Listeriaceae.